GCUGCUGUGGGAGUUCUGGGCAGACAGGGCGAAGAUUUUAACCCCUUUCUAGAAUAAUGGAAACCUUACAAAUACUGAUCCUCCUGGAUCUGAAUGAGGAGAGAGAGAAAGAGAUGAAACAGGAGAGAAAUGGGCAAGUGUGAUGAAAGUUGGUGCAAGUGAGAGAUGUCAGAAGAGACAUCCCCAAGAAGAGGUUCUGGCUCCAAAAUAGGAGGUUAUGAUAGAAGAAAUAAGGCAUGUUAAAUAUAAAAUACAUGGAAGGAAUGAGUACAGUUGGAGAGCAAGCACACAUAAAACACCAAACCAGAUACACCUUAAUACAAUCCAAGAGAGGAUGAAAGGAAGCUUUGAUGACCACAGCUGAACCACAUCAGUGACUGAGCAUUUACUCUAGAUGACACCAAAAGGGACCAAAAUGAAACAAUCUGUUCAGUCCCCAGCCUGAUGAGAACCUUCUCCAUCAGUCUGUGCAGCCCUGGCAGCUGUGGCAGAACCCAAACAGUGGGGACACACCAGAUCACUCAGGUUUUCCUGACAAGAGCCAAGAUCUCCACAAAACAAGUCAGCCAGGAUGCAGAAGAAACUGCCUGAAGCUAUUUAAAUGCAGAAAUUACACCAUAUUGUAAGUGGUAAGGCAAAAAAUAAGUAUUUUCCAGGGGUCAACACUGACAGUUGCUUAUUGCCUGAUUUGGAGAGACCAGUGCUUGAAAGGAUGAUAGAAGGAAUGAAUUAAAUCACAGUUAUAGGCUUAUUUAUUUUUUGUUCAUUUUGCAAAUAAAUGAAAGUUCUAAAGACCUCA
Passer domesticus (house sparrow) is the source of this 799-nucleotide long non-coding RNA. RefSeq lists it as uncharacterized. The transcript has 2 exons. The record is from RefSeq and is a predicted model, not a curated record. Lineage: Eukaryota; Metazoa; Chordata; Aves; Passeriformes; Passeridae.